AUUUCCUGUGUCAGGGUCGCGCAGUGAGCGUUGUGAGUGCCUUGCUGAGAAGCUGCAGUUGUCUAGACCGUGUUUCUUCUCUUUAUUUUUCUUGUUAAACUACUGGUAUUAUUGUGUGAAUUCUACUUGCUGCAUGGUGCACUCGAAGGAUCCUUGGAAACUCUUAAGCCACGCAAUGGUGACGUUGUGGGACGGAGGUGGGGAUGGAAUGGGGUGCGUUUGAGAUGUAAAUGGUGAGAAACAGCCCUGGAGAUCCACAGCCUCCCUGCUGAGCUCGGGACACUGGGGCUGGCCAUUUUCUGUUGCUGCAUCUUCAUCUGUAACUCUGCUCAGGCGCGAAGAGUUCUGGGUCUCCAGCAUAGUGCUAUUCGUGUUUAUUUAUUUAUUUUUUUGAGACAGCGUCUUACUAUGCACUUGUUUUGUUUUGUUUUUUGGUCUUUUUCGUUUUUAUCGGUACCAAGGAUUGAACUCAUGACUGCCUGCUUGCAAGGCAGGCGAUUAUGCCGCUGAACUAAAUUUCCAGCCCCACUAUGCACUUUAGAUUGAUCCUAAACUCACUAUGUAACGUAGAAAUCGCAGCCUCCCAACUGCUGUAAUUACAGUAAUGUUACACCACACCCGGCCAACCCAGGACACACUCUUCGUCGGUCCUGGGCACAGCUUGUUCUCCAGCAGUCUGCCUAGCAGGAACUUGGGAAACAAAGGGGUUUCACGCUCAGCAGUGAAAAAAUCAUCAUUGAAAUUUCUUAAACGAGACCUCUGCUUGUUGUGGUUGCUGCACGAACAGAGCUCGUGCUCUAACAACAUCUUGGAAUGAUUUUCUGAACCAAAAAAUGUGUUGGGUUUUUAGGCGCUGUUGAGAAACAGAGAUAAGGAAAAGCCUUCAUUGCCUGCGCGGGAGGAUUGCAGAAGAUGCCCAGGACCCUGGGACAGUGGAAGCUGGGAAUCUACUUCUAGGCAGUUGGACUCAGGGUGGUGACUGGAUCUCGGUGUCGGGAGAGGAUUGGAGGAGGAUCUUUGGCGCGCCUGCGGAAGAAGAGCAGGACAUUCAUUUGGGAGGCAGUGACCUUGGAGGAUGUAACCGUGAACUUCACCAAGGAGGAGUGGGCUCUGCUGAAUCCAUCCCAAAGGAAGCUCUACAGAGAUGUGAUGAGGGAAACAUUGAUGAAUAUGAAUGCUCUAGGAAGGACUUGGGAAAACCAGCAAAUGGAAGAGGAAUACAGAAAUUGUUCAAAAAAGCUGAGGUAAUUGGCUUUUGUAAGGAAAAGCAGUACUUCUCAAGAGGACAUAAAGAGGUAGCAACAUGGUAUCAAUGCAAAACUUCCAGUGAACAUAAAAACAUAUACCUUUAGACUUCAGAAGUGAAUGUGGACAUGAAUCAAUCUGCUUUAGAGCCAGCCCGAAGUCUCGUUUGUGGAGAGCCCUUUCUUGGGCACUUACCAUUACAUGUGCCCAUCUUAACCUCAUCCUGGAGAGAAACUACAUGAGAAUGUGGGGUUUGAUGAGAAGCUGAGUAAAUGUAAUGAACAUGGAAAACCAUGCAGUGAUUUCCAGUCCUUUCAGAAGCCUGCAAGUACAAAGAAUGGAGAGAAACUCUAUCAACAUGAGUAAUGCAUGAAGUCCUACUCUGAAUUUAGUGAAAGAGCUCACUUUGAAGAGAAGACCAUUGUUGAUCAGGAAAAUGUGAAGGCCUCCAGCACCCCCAGUGGUCUUCUAAUCGCUGAAAGAAUUCAGGCUGGGAAGAAACCAUAUGAUAGCAAGCAAUAUAAAAAUUUAUUCCAGACUCAAAAGUGUAAAAUUCUUGAAAGGAUUCACAUGGAAGAGAAAUGUUAUGUGUGCAAGCAGUGUGGGAAGACAUUCACUACCCACAAAUCUUGUCAACCACAUGAAAGAAAUCACACAGGGGUAAAACCUUAUAUGUGCAAGCACUGUGGGAAAGCAUUCAGUACAAAGUCUUGUUGCAAAGUGCAUGAAAAAACUCACAGUGAGGAGAAACUUUAUGUGUGCAAGCAAUGUGGAAAAGCAUUCACUACACAAAAGUAUUGUCAAAGACAUGAAAGAACUCACACAGGCAAGAAACCUUAUCUGUGCAAGCAAUGUGAGAAGGCAUUCACUACACAUUAUUGUCAACGACAUGAAAGAAGUCACACUGGAGUGAAACCUUACAUGUGCAAGCAUUUUGGAAAGGCAUACACUACACAUGAUAGUUGUCAAAAACAUGAAAGAAUUCACACUGGGGAGAAACUUUAUAUGUGUACACAAUGUGGGAAGACAUUCACUACACAGCGGUAUUGUCAAGAGCAUGAAAGAAAUUGCCCUGGGGAAAAAUAUGUGUGUAAGCAAUGUGGGAAAGCAUUCCAUUCAGACUGUCAUUGUCAGGUACAUGAAAGAACUCACAGUAGGGUGAAACCUUAUGUGUGCCAGCCCUGUGGAAAAGCAUCCAGUACAAAGUCUCAUUUUAAAGGGCAUGAAGAAACUCAGUGAGGAGAAACCUUAUGUGUGCAAGCAAUGUGGAAGAGCAUUCACUAUUAGGAAAGCUUACAAAAGACAUGAAAAAACUCAUACACAGAAGAAACCUUAUGUAUGCAAGAAAUGUGGAAAGGCACUCAUUAAAAACAGUAGUUGUCAAAAGCCUGAAAGAACUCACACUGGGGAGAAACCUUAUGUGUGCAUGCACUGUGGGAAGGCAUUUAGUACACACUGGUAUUAUGAAAUGCAUGAAAGAAUUAACAUAGGGGAGAAACCUUUUGUGUACAAGCAAUGUGGGAAAGAAUUCGCUACACACCAGAUUUGUGAAGUACAUGAAAGAACUCACACUGGGGAAAAACCUUAUGUGUGAAUGUAGUGUGGAAAUGUAUUCACUAAACACCAAUCUUGUCAAAUAAAUGAAGUCACAUAGACAAGAAACCGCAUGCAUAUCAGUCAUUGGGAAAAAGAUUUGCUAGUAAUUUCUCAUUUUGUAUACAUAGAUUUCAUUCUGAAGAGGAACCCUACAUAUAUCAACACUAUAGGGGAAGAAUUUAGUGAGCACAUUUUUUAUCAACUGCAUGAAAGUCACUGGAGUAUGAUCCUAUACUUUUAAGGCUAUUUUGAAAAAGUGGUAAAAAUUCCUCGUGUAGUGGAGACCUGUAUACAUUUAAAUAAAAAUUGGAUGUCAGUAUUUCUUCAUGAAUAUUUCAGAAAAUAUACUCUGAGAUGGAGAUCUUUUGAAAAGCCAAACUCUGUAUCUGUAGUCUUUACCAGAAACAAUGUUUUUUUUUUUUUCUCUGUCUUUUUCAUUUUUAUCAGUACCGAGGAUCGAACUCACGACCACCUGCUUGCAAGGCAGGUGCUUAUGCUGCUGAGCUAAAUCCCCAGCCCCUCAGAAACAAUGUUGACAUAUAUUUUUGUGUAAGCCAAUAGUUGAAUUUAGCAUAUAGUAUUUUCUGAUGAGAU
Cavia porcellus (domestic guinea pig) is the source of this 3435-nucleotide long non-coding RNA. RefSeq lists it as uncharacterized. The record is from RefSeq and is a predicted model, not a curated record. NCBI's taxonomy places the organism in Eukaryota, Metazoa, Chordata, Mammalia, Rodentia, Caviidae. The transcript has 4 exons.